AGUGAACGCUGGCGGUAGGCCUAACACAUGCAAGUCGAACGGCAGCACAGUAAGAGCUUGCUCUUACGGGUGGCGAGUGGCGGACGGGUGAGGAAUACAUCGGAAUCUACUUUUUCGUGGGGGAUAACGUAGGGGAACUUACGCUAAUACCGCAUACGACCUACGGGUGAAAGCAGGGGAUCUUCGGACCUUGCGCGAUUGAAUGAGCCGAUGUCGGAUUAGCUAGUUGGCGGGGUAAAGGCCCACCAAGGCGACGAUCCGUAGCUGGUCUGAGAGGAUGAUCAGCCACACUGGAACUGGGACACGGUCCAGACUCCUACGGGAGGCAGCAGUGGGGAAUAUUGGACAAUGGGCGCAAGCCUGAUCCAGCCAUACCGCGUGGGUGAAGAAGGCCUUCGGGUUGUAAAGCCCUUUUGUUGGGAAAGAAAAGCAGCAGGUUAAUACCCCGCUGUUCUGACGGUACCCAAAGAAUAAGCACCGGCUAACUUCGUG
RNAcentral lists this ribosomal RNA (492 nucleotides) under uncultured bacterium. RNAcentral describes it as "partial 16S ribosomal RNA". It matches the Rfam family "Bacterial small subunit ribosomal RNA", at positions 29 to 507 of the family's 1533-position model. The record is from RNAcentral.